This 127-nucleotide small RNA is filed under the name Marmota monax (woodchuck). The record is from RNAcentral. Lineage: Eukaryota; Metazoa; Chordata; Mammalia; Rodentia; Sciuridae.
GCCGGGUGCAGUGGUGUAUGCCUGUAAUCCCAGCUGCUGGGGAGGCUGAGACAGGAGGAUCACAAGUUCAAAGCCAGCCUCAGCAACUUAGCGAGGCACUAAGCAACUCAGUUAGAUCCUAUCUCUA